UCUCCCUAAAACCAUGUCCAUGACCAUGACUAGAGUUGUUCAAAUCCUGCCCAAAAAUCUUUGGAAUUCCUUCAACCCUCUCCACAAAACCCACAUUGGAAAACAGGGAAUUCUCAUCUUUCUUCUCGUCGACCACAGGUAAGCAUGGAGCUGAUACCGGCACAAUAGAUUUGGCCCUCGUAACUGUCUCAUGAUUCGAAAAGGUAGACCUUAUUGACUGAACCAUCAAAAUACUCUCAGGAACGGAUCUCACAGACCCCAAUUCAACAACUCCAACAUCAGUUGCCACCAAAACAAUGGUCUGAAUCCCCGCAGAUUUUGCAAGAAAAGACCUCACACAAUAAUCAUUCCCCGACUUCAAAGCAUCGGCAACCCACACAUGCUUCCCGGACGCAAAACAUUUGCCCGGGCCACCUUCUCCACGAGGAAAUGAGAAAUACAUGGAUGCUAAGAAGAACAUCUCAGUAUCAGUAACCCGGUC
Molecule: unclassified non-coding RNA, 481 nt
Filed under: Hevea brasiliensis (rubber tree)
Lineage: Eukaryota; Viridiplantae; Streptophyta; Magnoliopsida; Malpighiales; Euphorbiaceae
Source: RNAcentral